GGUCUUAUAUUCAACAAUGAUUUUAAAUUGCAAAUUUAAAGGAGGGGGCACCCUAAGGCUU
Molecule: transfer RNA, 61 nt
Filed under: Cantonius szechuanensis
Lineage: Eukaryota; Metazoa; Arthropoda; Insecta; Coleoptera; Buprestidae
Description: tRNA-Cys
Source: RNAcentral